RNAcentral lists this ribosomal RNA (241 nucleotides) under uncultured soil bacterium. Its description in RNAcentral is "partial 16S ribosomal RNA". It matches the Rfam family "Bacterial small subunit ribosomal RNA", at positions 26 to 266 of the family's 1533-position model. The record is from RNAcentral.
AGAUUGAACGCUAGCGGGAUGCUUUACACAUGCAAGUCGAACGGCAGCGCGGACUUCGGUCUGGCGGCGAGUGGCGAACGGGUGAGUAAUAUAUCGGAACGUGCCCAGUAGCGGGGGAUAACUACGCGAAAGCGUGGCUAAUACCGCAUACGCCCGUACGGGGGAAAGGGGGGAUUCUUCGGAACCUCUCACUAUUGGAGCGGCCGAUAUCAGAUUAGCUAGUUGGUGUAGGUAAAGGCUC